UGCUAUCCAAUAAAAAAUCAACACACCAUCUAUUAUUGGGAAAAAAAUUUAUUGUUAUGUAAAUUUGGUGGAAAAUUUUAAGUAAAAAAAAUUUACUAUUAAUUAUGGUUACCUAGCCGGCUUUUUGUUGGUUUGAAUAAAAAAGAGCUCAAUUUUUUCGAAUGAUGUAUUGAUUUUUUAUUGGGUGACCAAGGAUUUAUAUAUAUAUCUACACACACAUAUGGU
RNAcentral lists this long non-coding RNA (225 nucleotides) under Elaeis guineensis (African oil palm). Its description in RNAcentral is "long non-coding RNA (EGUI_LNC022746)". Lineage: Eukaryota; Viridiplantae; Streptophyta; Magnoliopsida; Arecales; Arecaceae. The record is from RNAcentral.